Molecule: ribosomal RNA, 460 nt
Filed under: uncultured bacterium
Lineage: Bacteria
Description: partial 16S ribosomal RNA
Rfam family: Bacterial small subunit ribosomal RNA
Source: RNAcentral
CCUACGGGCGGCAGCAGUGAGGAAUAUUGGUCAAUGGGCGGAAGCCUGAACCAGCCAAGUCGCGUGAGGGAAUAAGGCCCUACGGGUCGUAAACCUCUUUUGCCGGGGAGCAAGGGCGGGGACGUGUCCCGGCCCGGAGAGUACCCGGAGAAAAAGCAUCGGCUAACUCCGUGCCAGCAGCCGCGGUAAUACGGAGGAUGCGAGCGUUAUCCGGAUUUAUUGGGUUUAAAGGGUGCGUAGGCGGGCUUUUAAGUCAGCGGUAAAAAUUCGGGGCUCAACCCCGUCCGGCCGUUGAAACUGGGGGCCUUGAGUGGGCGAGAAGAAGGCGGAAUGCGUGGUGUAGCGGUGAAAUGCAUAGAUAUCAGGAGGAACACCGGUGGCGAAGGCGGCCUGCUGGACUGCAACUGACGUUGAGGCCCGAAAGCGUGGGGAGCAAACAGGAUUAGAUACCCUAGUAGUC